CUGGCUCAGGACGAACGCUGGCGGCGUGCUUAACACAUGCAAGUCGAGCGGAGAAUAUAGCAAUAUAUUCUAGCGGCGGACGGGUGAGUAACGCGUGGGCAAUCUGCCUCAUACAGGGGGAUAACACUGGGAAACUAGUGCUAAUACCGCAUAAAAUAGUGAAGUGGCAUCACUUUACUAUCAAAGGAGCAAUCCGGUGUGAGAUGAGCCCGCGUCCGAUUAGCUAGUUGGAGGGGUAACGGCCCACCAAGGCGACGAUCGGUAGCCGAACUGAGAGGUUGAUCGGCCACAUUGGGACUGAGACACGGCCCAGACUCCUACGGGAGGCAGCAGUGGGGAAUAUUGCGCAAAUGGGGGAAACCCUGACGCAGCAACGCCGCGUGAAGGAUGAAGGUUUUCGGAUUGUAAACUUCUUUGAUUGGGGACGAUAAUGACGGUACCCAAAAAACAAGCCACGGCUAACUACGUGCCAGCCGCUGC
RNAcentral lists this ribosomal RNA (480 nucleotides) under uncultured bacterium. Its description in RNAcentral is "bacterial SSU rRNA". It matches the Rfam family "Bacterial small subunit ribosomal RNA", at positions 19 to 518 of the family's 1533-position model. The record is from RNAcentral.